AUCGCGGAUGGGGAGCGCGAGCGUGAAGAAACCGGCCGCCAUCUUACUGUACCCACAACAGUCGCCGCAGCGAUCAUGGCAACUUCUUGCAAUUACGGUCGUACCAACCGUACUGGCAAGGUUACAGGGCCUAAAUUUAUACAGGUUUCGUCAUGAGGGCUACCCAGUGAAUAAUCUGUGCAGUGUGAUACGGCUGGGUGUACAGGUUACUUCACAGCUGCCUCGACAUACUCAAGAAAUGGGUGCAGAACCUGCGUAAUGCCCACAAACCUUGACUACCACAGCACCUCCAGAAAGUAAAGGCAUA
Molecule: long non-coding RNA, 307 nt
Organism: Ornithodoros turicata
Lineage: Eukaryota; Metazoa; Arthropoda; Arachnida; Ixodida; Argasidae
Exons: 3
Source: RefSeq, a predicted model, not a curated record